This 305-nucleotide ribosomal RNA is filed under the name uncultured bacterium. RNAcentral describes it as "bacterial SSU rRNA". It matches the Rfam family "Bacterial small subunit ribosomal RNA", at positions 337 to 633 of the family's 1533-position model. The record is from RNAcentral.
UCCUACGGGGGGCAGCAGUUAGGAAUAUUCGGCAAUGGGGGAAACCCUGACCGAGCAAUGCCGCGUGCGAGAUGACGGCCCUAUGGGUUGUAAAUCACUUUUCUUUGGGAAGAAUUGUAAGCAUAGGAAAUGAUGUUUACUUGACGGUACCUUUUGAAUAAGCCCCGGCUAACUACGUGCCAGCAGCCGCGGUAAUACGUAGGUGGCAAGCGUUAUCCGGAUUUACUGGGUGUAAAGGGCGUGUAGGCGGGAAAGCAAGUCAGAUGUGAAAACCAUGGGCUCAACCUGUGGCCUGCAUUUGAAAC